GGACUUACUCUUCGGAGUGAGAGCGUACACAGGUGCUGCAUGGCUGUCGUCAGCUCGUGUCGUGAGAUGUUGGGUUAAGUCCCGCAACGAGCGCAACCCUGCAUUCAGUUGCCAUCGGUAAGGCCGGGCACUCUGGAUGGACUGCCGGCGACAAGCCGGAGGAAGUGGGGACGACGUCAAGUCAUCAUGGCCCUUAUGUCCAGGGCGACACACGUGCUACAAUGGCCGGCACAACGGGAAGCGAAGGGGCGACCCUGAGCGGAUCCCACAAAAGCCGGUCUCAGUUCGGAUUGCAGUCUGCAACUCGACUGCAUGAAGUUGGAAUCGCUAGUAAUCGUGGAUCAGCCAAGCCGCGGUGAAUACGUUCCCGGGCCUU
This 376-nucleotide ribosomal RNA is filed under the name uncultured Thermovirga sp. Its description in RNAcentral is "bacterial SSU rRNA". It matches the Rfam family "Bacterial small subunit ribosomal RNA", at positions 1008 to 1382 of the family's 1533-position model. The record is from RNAcentral. Lineage: Bacteria; Thermotogati; Synergistota; Synergistia; Synergistales; Thermovirgaceae.